Molecule: ribosomal RNA, 620 nt
Filed under: Epinephelus sexfasciatus (sixbar grouper)
Lineage: Eukaryota; Metazoa; Chordata; Actinopteri; Perciformes; Serranidae
Description: partial 16S ribosomal RNA
Rfam family: Bacterial large subunit ribosomal RNA
Source: RNAcentral
UCGCCUGUUUAUCAAAAACAUCGCCUCUUGCUAAACCGAAAAUAUAAGAGGUCCCGCCUGCCCUGUGACUAUAUGUUUAACGGCCGCGGUAUUUUGACCGUGCGAAGGUAGCGCAAUCACUUGUCUCUUAAAUGGGGACCUGUAUGAAUGGCAUAACGAGGGCUUGACUGUCUCCUCUUUCAAGUCAAUGAAAUUGAUCUCCCCGUGCAGAAGCGGGGAUACGCUCAUAAGACGAGAAGACCCUAUGGAGCUUUAGGCACUAAAGCAGAUCAGCAUUAAUACCCUAAACACAGGGCACGAAUAAACUGAACCCUGCCCUAAUGUCUUAGGUUGGGGCGACCGCGGAGAAAUAAAAAACCCCCGCAAGGACCGAAUGUACUACAUUCACAACCAAGAGCGACAGCUCUAAUUAACAGACACUUCUGACCAAUAAGAUCCGGCAACGCCGAUCAAUGGACCAAGUUACCCUAGGGAUAACAGCGCAAUCUCCUCUUAGAGCCCGUAUCAACGAGGAGGUUUACGACCUCGAUGUUGGAUCAGGACAUCCUAAUGGUGCAGCCGCUAUUAAGGGUUCGUUUGUUCAACGAUUAAAGUCCUACGUGAUCUGAGUUCAGACCGGA